GACGAACGCUGGCGGCGUGCUUAACACAUGCAAGUCACGGGGGCUCGCAAGAGCAACCGGCGAACGGGUGCGUAACACGUGAGCAACCUGCCGAUCUGAGGGGGAUAGCCGGCCCAACGGCCGGGUAAUACCGCAUACGUUCUCGAGGGGGAGUCCUCUUGAGAAGAAACCUCCGGGGCAGAUCGAGGGGCUCGCGGCCUAUCAGCUAGUUGGUGAGGUAACGGCUCACCAAGGCANCGACGGGUAGCUGGUCUGAGAGGAUGGCCAGCCACAUUGGGACUGAGAGACGGCCCAGACUCCUACGGGAGGCAGCAGUGGGGAAUCUUGCGCAAUGGCCGAAAGGCUGACGCAGCGACGCCGCGUGUGGGAUGAAGCAUUUCGGUGUGUAAACACUGUUGCCCGGGACGAACAUCCUCUUUCGAGAGGACUGACGGUACCGGGUGAGGAAGCACCGGCUAACUCCGUGCCAGCAGCCGCGGUAAC
RNAcentral lists this ribosomal RNA (483 nucleotides) under uncultured bacterium. RNAcentral's name for it is "bacterial SSU rRNA". It matches the Rfam family "Bacterial small subunit ribosomal RNA", at positions 28 to 524 of the family's 1533-position model. The record is from RNAcentral.